RNAcentral lists this transfer RNA (84 nucleotides) under Ailuropoda melanoleuca (giant panda). It matches the Rfam family "tRNA". From Rfam's summary of the family: Transfer RNA (tRNA) molecules are approximately 80 nucleotides in length. Their secondary structure includes four short double-helical elements and three loops (D, anti-codon, and T loops). The record is from Rfam by way of RNAcentral. Lineage: Eukaryota; Metazoa; Chordata; Mammalia; Carnivora; Ursidae.
GCCUGGGUGGCUCAGCUGGUUAAGCAUCUGACUGUGGCUUAGGUCACAAUCCUGGGGUCCUGGGAUCAAGCCCCACCUCGGGCU